Molecule: ribosomal RNA, 253 nt
Filed under: uncultured bacterium
Lineage: Bacteria
Description: partial 16S ribosomal RNA
Rfam family: Bacterial small subunit ribosomal RNA
Source: RNAcentral
UACGGAGGGGGCUAGCGUUGUUCGGAAUUACUGGGCGUAAAGAGCGCGUAGGCGGUUUGUAAAGUUGGAAGUGAAAUCCCGAGGCUUAACCUCGGAACUGCUUUCAAAACUCACAGACUAGAGGAUGAUAGAGGAUGGCGGAAUUCCUAGUGUAGAGGUGAAAUUCUUAGAUAUUAGGAGGAACACCAGUGGCGAAGGCGGCCAUCUGGGUCAUUACUGACGCUGAGGUGCGAAAGCGUGGGGAGCAAACAGG